This 441-nucleotide ribosomal RNA is filed under the name uncultured bacterium. Its description in RNAcentral is "bacterial SSU rRNA". It matches the Rfam family "Bacterial small subunit ribosomal RNA", at positions 358 to 796 of the family's 1533-position model. The record is from RNAcentral.
GGAAUAUUGGACAAUGGGCGAGAGCCUGAUCCAGCCAUGCCGCGUGCAGGAAGAAUGCCCUCUGGGUUGUAAACUGCUUUUAUACAAGAAGAAACGAUUGCUUGCGAGCGAUUCUGACGGUAUUGUAUGAAUAAGCACCGGCUAACUCCGUGCCAGCAGCCGCGGUAAUACGGAGGGUGCAAGCGUUAUCCGGAUUUACUGGGUUUAAAGGGUACGUAGGCGGAUUUGUAAGUCAGUGGUGAAAGCCUGCAGCUCAACUGUGGAAUUGCCAUUGAAACUGUGAAUCUAGAGUAUAGAGGAAGUAAGCGGAAUAAGUCAUGUAGCGGUGAAAUGCAUAGAUAUGACUUAGAACACCGAAAGCGAAGGCAGCUUACUGUUCUAUAACUGACGCUGAGGUACGAAAGCGUGGGUAGCGAACAGGAUUAGAAACCCCGGUAGUCC